This 450-nucleotide ribosomal RNA is filed under the name uncultured Glomeromycotina. RNAcentral describes it as "SSU rRNA". It matches the Rfam family "Eukaryotic small subunit ribosomal RNA", at positions 569 to 1022 of the family's 1831-position model. Lineage: Eukaryota; Fungi; Glomeromycota. The record is from RNAcentral.
AGCAGCCGCGGUAAUUCCAGCUCCAAUAGCGUAUAUUAAAGUUGUUGCAGUUAAAAAGCUCGUAGUUGAAUUUCGGGGUCAGUAGAUUGGUCGUGCCACUGGUAUGUACUGGUCCUUACUGGCUCCUCCUUCCUGAUGAACCGUAAUGCCAUUAAUUUGGUGUUGCGGGGAGACUGGACUGUUACUUUGAAAAAAUUAGAGUGUUUAAAGCAGGCUAACGCUUGAAUACAUUAGCAUGGAAUAAUGAAAUAGGACGUUCGAUCUUAUUUUGUUGGUUUCUAGGAUUGACGUAAUGAUUAAUAGGGAUAGUUGGGGGCAUUAGUAUUCAAUUGUCAGAGGUGAAAUUCUUGGAUUUAUUGAAGACUAACUACUGCGAAAGCAUUUGCCAAGGAUGUUUUCAUUAAUCAAGAACGAAAGUUAGGGGAUCGAAGACGAUCAGAUACCGUCGUA